This is a long non-coding RNA of Etheostoma cragini (Arkansas darter), 619 nucleotides long. RefSeq lists it as uncharacterized. The record is from RefSeq and is a predicted model, not a curated record. The transcript is spliced from 2 exons. NCBI's taxonomy places the organism in Eukaryota, Metazoa, Chordata, Actinopteri, Perciformes, Percidae.
CUGCACUACUACUGGCGUCAAGGUGACAGAUUUGCUGACUUUGUGCUGCGCUCAAAGUAAAAAUUAUUUUAACUGUGAUCUUGCCGCUGACCUUUUUAAAAGCGCAACCAAUAAGAUAACAGCAUGUUGUUACCUAGCAACGGAAAAUGGCUUCCUUGCCACCUUGUUGACGAAUACGUGCGCCGCUCUUCGCUCUCCGUGCUGUGCUCUGUGCUCUACAUAGUGGCGUGCAGAGAGCAAAUCGCGUAUCCCGUGUAGGCAGCUUAAACUACUUCUUACCGAGAGGUGAUACAUGUUUAUUUACCUUCACAGUUUUGCCUCUAGUUCUUCUGCUUUCCGCAAAUUGUCGAAGUAAACAAACAGGUGUACCAAAUAGGUUACCAAAUAGUUAAUUUAAGACUGGAUGAAGAUACCUCAUUAAAUUGUUUGAAUGUAUUUAUCUAUAACUUCCUCAACAUGCUGCAUUUGCAUUUGCAGUGUGUAGUGUGCUAGAUGCAGAAAAUAAAUAAUACCUGUUUUGACUGUGGAUAAGCUUUAUACAAAUGUAUUACACAAGACUAAUGUACACACUAAAAUCUAUUAAAUUCUAUUUUAAUUAAAGUGACACAAUGCUGAGUGA